RNAcentral lists this ribosomal RNA (497 nucleotides) under uncultured bacterium. RNAcentral's name for it is "partial 16S ribosomal RNA". It matches the Rfam family "Bacterial small subunit ribosomal RNA", at positions 30 to 523 of the family's 1533-position model. The record is from RNAcentral.
AUUGAACGCUGGCGGCAUGCCUUACACAUGCAAGUCGAACGGUAACAGGUCUUCGGAUGCUGACGAGUGGCGAACGGGUGAGUAAUGCAUCGGAACGUGCCCAGUAGUGGGGAUAGCCCGGCGAAAGCCGGAUUAAUACCGCAUACGACCUGAGGGUGAAAGGGGGGGAUCGCAAGACCUCUCGCUAUUGGAGCGGCCGAUGUCAGAUUAGCUAGUUGGUGGGGUAAAGGCCUACCAAGGCAACGAUCUGUAGUUGGUCUGAGAGGACGACCAGCCACCCUGGGACGGAGACACGGCCCAGACUCCGACGGGAGGCAGCAGUGGGGAAUUUUGGACAAUGGGCGCAAGCCUGAUCCAGCAAUGCCGCGUGCAGGAAGAAGGCCUUCGGGUUGUAAACUGCUUUUGUCAGGGAAGAAAUCUUCUGGGUUAAUACCUCGGGAGGAUGACGGUACCUGAAGAAUAAGCACCGGCUAACUACGUGCCAGCCGCCGCCGUAA